ACAGGUGAAAAUGCAACAAGGAUGCAACGGAAAGCGAUGAAACUUCACAGGGAGCCGGGAGACAGGUGAAAAUGCAACAAGGAUGCAACGGAAAGCGAUGAAACUUCACAGGGAGCCGGGAGACAGGUGAAAAUGCAACAAGGAUGCAACGGAAAGCGAUGAAACUUCACAGGGAGCCGGGAGACAGGUGAAAAUGCAACAAGGAUGCAACGGAAAGCGAUGAAACUUCACAGGGAGCCGGGAGACAGGUGAAAAUGCAACAAGGAUGCAACGGAAAGCGAUGAAACUUCACAGGGAGCCGGGAGACAGGUAAGUAAGCA
Plodia interpunctella (Indianmeal moth) is the source of this 320-nucleotide long non-coding RNA. RefSeq lists it as uncharacterized. The transcript has 5 exons. Lineage: Eukaryota; Metazoa; Arthropoda; Insecta; Lepidoptera; Pyralidae. The record is from RefSeq and is a predicted model, not a curated record.